AAUCAACGCUGGCGGCGUGCCUAAUACAUGCAAGUCGAACGCGAAAGUCCCGCAAGGGAUGAGUAGAGUGGCAAACGGGUGAGUAACACGUGGGUGACCUGCCUUCGAGUGGGGGAUAACGUCCCGAAAGGGACGCUAAUACCGCAUAACAUCCUGCCUUUUAAGAGGUGGAGAUCAAAGCUGGGGAUCGCAAGACCUAGCGCUGGAAGAGGGGCCCGCGUCCGAUUAGCUAGNGGUGAGGUAACGGCUCACCAAGGCAACGAUCGGUAGCCGGCCUGAGAGGGCGGACGGCCACACUGGGACUGAGACACGGCCCAGACUCCUACGGGAGCAGCAGUAGGGAAUUGUUCGCAAUGGGCGCAAGCCUGACGACGCAACGCCGCGUGGAGGAUGAAGAUUU
RNAcentral lists this ribosomal RNA (400 nucleotides) under uncultured bacterium. RNAcentral's name for it is "bacterial SSU rRNA". It matches the Rfam family "Bacterial small subunit ribosomal RNA", at positions 29 to 417 of the family's 1533-position model. The record is from RNAcentral.